RNAcentral lists this ribosomal RNA (2369 nucleotides) under Escherichia coli. RNAcentral's name for it is "partial 23S ribosomal RNA". It matches the Rfam family "Bacterial large subunit ribosomal RNA", at positions 247 to 2640 of the family's 2925-position model. Lineage: Bacteria; Pseudomonadati; Pseudomonadota; Gammaproteobacteria; Enterobacterales; Enterobacteriaceae. The record is from RNAcentral.
CGGCGAGCGAACGGGGAGCAGCCCAGAGCCUGAAUCAGUGUGUGUGUUAGUGGAAGCGUCUGGAAAGGCGCGUGAUACAGGGUGACAGCCCCGUACACAAAAAUGCACAUGCUGUGAGCUCGAUGAGUAGGGCGGGACACGUGGUAUCCUGUCUGAAUAUGGGGGGACCAUCCUCCAAGGCUAAAUACUCCUGACUGACCGAUAGUGAACCAGUACCGUGAGGGAAAGGCGAAAAGAACCCCGGCGAGGGGAGUGAAAAAGAACCUGAAACCGUGUACGUACAAGCAGUGGGAGCACGCUUAGGCGUGUGACUGCGUACCUUUUGUAUAAUGGGUCAGCGACUUAUAUUCUGUAGCAAGGUUAACCGAAUAGGGGAGCCGAAGGGAAACCGAGUCUUAACUGGGCGUUAAGUUGCAGGGUAUAGACCCGAAACCCGGUGAUCUAGCCAUGGGCAGGUUGAAGGUUGGGUAACACUAACUGGAGGACCGAACCGACUAAUGUUGAAAAAUUAGCGGAUGACUUGUGGCUGGGGGUGAAAGGCCAAUCAAACCGGGAGAUAGCUGGUUCUCCCCGAAAGCUAUUUAGGUAGCGCCUCGUGAAUUCAUCUCCGGGGGUAGAGCACUGUUUCGGCAAGGGGGUCAUCCCGACUUACCAACCCGAUGCAAACUGCGAAUACCGGAGAAUGUUAUCACGGGAGACACACGGCGGGUGCUAACGUCCGUCGUGAAGAGGGAAACAACCCAGACCGCCAGCUAAGGUCCCAAAGUCAUGGUUAAGUGGGAAACGAUGUGGGAAGGCCCAGACAGCCAGGAUGUUGGCUUAGAAGCAGCCAUCAUUUAAAGAAAGCGUAAUAGCUCACUGGUCGAGUCGGCCUGCGCGGAAGAUGUAACGGGGCUAAACCAUGCACCGAAGCUGCGGCAGCGACGCUUAUGCGUUGUUGGGUAGGGGAGCGUUCUGUAAGCCUGUGAAGGUGUACUGUGAGGUAUGCUGGAGGUAUCAGAAGUGCGAAUGCUGACAUAAGUAACGAUAAAGCGGGUGAAAAGCCCGCUCGCCGGAAGACCAAGGGUUCCUGUCCAACGUUAAUCGGGGCAGGGUGAGUCGACCCCUAAGGCGAGGCCGAAAGGCGUAGUCGAUGGGAAACAGGUUAAUAUUCCUGUACUUGGUGUUACUGCGAAGGGGGGACGGAGAAGGCUAUGUUGGCCGGGCGACGGUUGUCCCGGUUUAAGCGUGUAGGCUGGUUUUCCAGGCAAAUCCGGAAAAUCAAGGCUGAGGCGUGAUGACGAGGCACUACGGUGCUGAAGCAACAAAUGCCCUGCUUCCAGGAAAAGCCUCUAAGCAUCAGGUAACAUCAAAUCGUACCCCAAACCGACACAGGUGGUCAGGUAGAGAAUACCAAGGCGCUUGAGAGAACUCGGGUGAAGGAACUAGGCAAAAUGGUGCCGUAACUUCGGGAGAAGGCACGCUGAUAUGUAGGUGAAGUCCCUCGCGGAUGGAGCUGAAAUCAGUCGAAGAUACCAGCUGGCUGCAACUGUUUAUUAAAAACACAGCACUGUGCAAACACGAAAGUGGACGUAUACGGUGUGACGCCUGCCCGGUGCCGGAAGGUUAAUUGAUGGGGUUAGCGCAAGCGAAGCUCUUGAUCGAAGCCCCGGUAAACGGCGGCCGUAACUAUAACGGUCCUAAGGUAGCGAAAUUCCUUGUCGGGUAAGUUCCGACCUGCACGAAUGGCGUAAUGAUGGCCAGGCUGUCUCCACCCGAGACUCAGUGAAAUUGAACUCGCUGUGAAGAUGCAGUGUACCCGCGGCAAGACGGAAAGACCCCGUGAACCUUUACUAUAGCUUGACACUGAACAUUGAGCCUUGAUGUGUAGGAUAGGUGGGAGGCUUUGAAGUGUGGACGCCAGUCUGCAUGGAGCCGACCUUGAAAUACCACCCUUUAAUGUUUGAUGUUCUAACGUGGACCCGUAAUCCGGGUUGCGGACAGUGUCUGGUGGGUAGUUUGACUGGGGCGGUCUCCUCCUAAAGAGUAACGGAGGAGCACGAAGGUUGGCUAAUCCUGGUCGGACAUCAGGAGGUUAGUGCAAUGGCAUAAGCCAGCUUGACUGCGAGCGUGACGGCGCGAGCAGGUGCGAAAGCAGGUCAUAGUGAUCCGGUGGUUCUGAAUGGAAGGGCCAUCGCUCAACGGAUAAAAGGUACUCCGGGGAUAACAGGCUGAUACCGCCCAAGAGUUCAUAUCGACGGCGGUGUUUGGCACCUCGAUGUCGGCUCAUCACAUCCUGGGGCUGAAGUAGGUCCCAAGGGUAUGGCUGUUCGCCAUUUAAAGUGGUACGCGAGCUGGGUUUAGAACGUCGUGAGACAGUUCGGUCCCUA